Molecule: ribosomal RNA, 450 nt
Filed under: uncultured Ambispora
Lineage: Eukaryota; Fungi; Glomeromycota; Glomeromycetes; Archaeosporales; Ambisporaceae
Description: SSU rRNA
Rfam family: Eukaryotic small subunit ribosomal RNA
Source: RNAcentral
AGCAGCCGCGGUAAUUCCAGCUCCAAUAGCGUAUAUUAAAGUUGUUGCAGUUAAAAAGCUCGUAGUUGAAUUUUGGGUCUGGCCGGGCGGUCCACCUUCCGGUGAGCACUGUUCCGACGCCGGGCCUAUCCUUCUGGUGAGACGGCAUGCCCUUCGCUGGGUGUGUCGGGGAACCAGGACCAUUACCUUGAAAAAUUAGAGUGUUCAAAGCAGGCAUUUGCUCGAAUACAUUAGCAUGGAAUAAUGAAAUAGGACGCGUGGUACUAUUUUGUUGGUUUCUAGGACCGCCGUAAUGAUUAAUAGGGAUAGUUGGGGGCAUUAGUAUUCAAUUGUCAGAGGUGAAAUUCUUGGAUUUAUUGAAGACUAACUUCUGCGAAAGCAUUUGCCAAGGAUGUUUUCAUUAAUCAAGAACGAAAGUUAGGGGAUCGAAGACGAUCAGAUACCGUCGUA